RNAcentral lists this ribosomal RNA (446 nucleotides) under uncultured bacterium. RNAcentral describes it as "partial 16S ribosomal RNA". It matches the Rfam family "Bacterial small subunit ribosomal RNA", at positions 338 to 795 of the family's 1533-position model. The record is from RNAcentral.
CCUACGGGAGGCUGCAGUCGAGAAUCAUUCACAAUGGGGGAAACCCUGAUGGUGCGACGCCGCGUGGGGGAAUGAAGGUCUUCGGAUUGUAAACCUCUGUCAUGUGGGAGUAAAUUAAUAAGAUAGUACCACAAGAGGAAGAGACGGCUAACUCGGGGCCAGCAGCUGCGGUAAUACAGAGGUCUCAAGCGUUGUUCGGAUGGACUGGGCGUAAAGCGUGCGUAGGCUGUUUCGUAAGUCGUGUGUGAAAGGCGCGGGCUCAACCCGUGAAGGGCACAUGAAACUGGGAGACUAGAGUAAUGGAGGGGGAACCGGAAUUCGCGGUGUAGCAGUGAAAUGCGUAGAUAUCGAGAGGAACACUCGUGGCGAAGGCAGGUUCCUGGACAUUAACUGACGCUGAGGCACGAAGGCCAGGGGAGCGAAAGGGAUUAGAUACCCCAGUAGUC